RNAcentral lists this ribosomal RNA (517 nucleotides) under uncultured bacterium. RNAcentral describes it as "partial 16S ribosomal RNA". It matches the Rfam family "Bacterial small subunit ribosomal RNA", at positions 355 to 891 of the family's 1533-position model. The record is from RNAcentral.
UGGGGAAUAUUGGAUAAUGGGGGCAACCCUGAUCCAGCCAUGCCGCGUGAGUGAUGAAGGCCUUAGGGUUGUAAAGCUCUUUCACCGGUGAAGAUAAUGACGGUAACCGGAGAAGAAGCCCCGGCUAACUUCGUGCCAGCAGCCGCGGUAAUACGAAGGGGGCUAGCGUUGUUCGGAAUUACUGGGCGUAAAGCGCACGUAGGCGGAUUGUUAAGUCGAGGGUGAAAUCCCAGGGCUCAACCCUGGAACUGCCUUCGAUACUGGCAUUCUUGAGUCCGAGAGAGGUGAGUGGAAUUCCGAGUGUAGAGGUGAAAUUCGUAGAUAUUCGGAAGAACACCAGUGGCGAAGGCGGCUCACUGGCUCGGAACUGACGCUGAGGUGCGAAAGCGUGGGGAGCAAAACAGGAUUAGAUACCCUGGUAGUCCACGCCGUAAACGAUGGGUGCUAGCCGUUGGGCAGCUUGCUGUUCAGUGGCGCCGCAACGCUUUAAGCACCCCGCCUGGGGAGUAGGUCGCAA